GACGAACGCUGGCGGCGUGCUUAACACAUGCAAGUCGAACGGAAAGGCCUCUUUCGGGGGGUACUCGAGUGGCGAACGGGUGAGUAACACGUGAGUAACCUGCCCUUGACUUUGGGAUAACUUCAGGAAACUGGGGCUAAUACCGGAUAGGAGCUCCUGCUGCAUGGUGGGGGUUGGAAAGUUUCGGCGGUUGGGGAUGGACUCGCGGCUUAUCAGCUUGUUGGUGGGGUAGUGGCUUGCCAAGGCUUUGACGGGUAGCCGGCCUGAGAGGGUGACCGGCCACAUUGGGACUGAGAUACGGCCCAGACUCCUACGGGAGGCAGCAGUGGGGAAUAUUGCACAAUGGGUGGAAGCCGGAUGCAGCAACGCCGUGUGCGGGAGGACGGCCUUCGGGUUGGAAACCGCUUUCGCUCAUGACGAAGCUUUGUGUGACGGUAGUGGGUAAAGAAGCACCGGCUAACUACGUG
This 467-nucleotide ribosomal RNA is filed under the name uncultured bacterium. Its description in RNAcentral is "partial 16S ribosomal RNA". It matches the Rfam family "Bacterial small subunit ribosomal RNA", at positions 28 to 507 of the family's 1533-position model. The record is from RNAcentral.